AAAAAUAUUAGGUUGAUGCAAAAGUUAUUGCAAUUUUUGCCAUUACUUUUAAUAGCAAAAACUGUAAUUUCUUUUGCACCAACCUACAAAUUUU
Chlorocebus sabaeus (green monkey) is the source of this 94-nucleotide microRNA precursor. The record is from Ensembl. Lineage: Eukaryota; Metazoa; Chordata; Mammalia; Primates; Cercopithecidae.